Molecule: ribosomal RNA, 442 nt
Filed under: uncultured bacterium
Lineage: Bacteria
Description: bacterial SSU rRNA
Rfam family: Bacterial small subunit ribosomal RNA
Source: RNAcentral
UGAGGAAUAUUGCUCAAUGGACGAAAGUCUGAAGCAGCAACGCCGCGUGAGGGAUGAAGGUGCUCUGCAUUGUAAACCUCUGUAGACAGGGAAAAACGACGGGUUACUACCCGUUUGAUGGUACCUGUAAAGUAAGGAUCGGCUAACUACGUGCCAGCAGCCGCGGUAAUACGUAGGAUCCAAGCGUUGUCCGGAUUUACUGGGUGUAAAGGGUGCGCAGGCGGACUUGUCAGUCAGUGGUGAAAUCUCUCGGCUCAACCGAGAAACUGCCAUCGAUACUGCAAGUCUUGAAUUGGGGAGGGAGUUGUGGAAUUCCGAGUGUAGCAGUGAAAUGUGUAGAUAUUCGGAAGAACACCAGUGGCGAAGGCAGCAACUUGGCCCCAGAUUGACGCUCAGGCACGAAAGCAUGGGGAUCAAACAGGAUUAGAUACCCCCGUAGUCC